RNAcentral lists this transfer RNA (85 nucleotides) under Nocardiopsis alborubida. RNAcentral describes it as "tRNA-Gly". The record is from RNAcentral. Lineage: Bacteria; Bacillati; Actinomycetota; Actinomycetes; Streptosporangiales; Nocardiopsidaceae.
GCGCCCUGCGACACGUACGCAGUGGCACGGAAGAACCGGACUUCCCGUCCGAUGGCCGCAGGCCCAAACCCUGCCGGGCGCGCCA